Molecule: transfer RNA, 69 nt
Filed under: Equus asinus somalicus
Lineage: Eukaryota; Metazoa; Chordata; Mammalia; Perissodactyla; Equidae
Description: tRNA-Lys
Rfam family: tRNA
About the family: Transfer RNA (tRNA) molecules are approximately 80 nucleotides in length.
Source: RNAcentral
CACUAAGAAGCUAUUACAGCGUUAACCUUUUAAGUUAAAGACUGAGGAUUCAAUCUCCCUCCCUAGUGA